RNAcentral lists this transfer RNA (88 nucleotides) under Clostridia bacterium. RNAcentral describes it as "tRNA-Ser". It matches the Rfam family "tRNA". From Rfam's summary of the family: Transfer RNA (tRNA) molecules are approximately 80 nucleotides in length. Their secondary structure includes four short double-helical elements and three loops (D, anti-codon, and T loops). Lineage: Bacteria; Bacillati; Bacillota; Clostridia. The record is from RNAcentral.
GGAGAGUUGGCUGAGUGGUCGAAAGCGGCGGUCUUGAAAACCGUUGAAGUGCGAGCUUCCUGGGGUUCGAAUCCCUAACUCUCCGCCA